Molecule: ribosomal RNA, 930 nt
Filed under: Amalus scortillum
Lineage: Eukaryota; Metazoa; Arthropoda; Insecta; Coleoptera; Curculionidae
Description: eukaryotic LSU rRNA
Rfam family: Eukaryotic large subunit ribosomal RNA
Source: RNAcentral
UGUGGUGUUCGGGAGGGUCCAUUAUCCCGAGAUUAUGCGGUGCGUCCAAGUCCUUCUUGAACGGGGCCACAGCCCAUAGAGGGUGCCAGGCCCGUAGCGACCGCCGCUGAUCGCGGGAGGAUCUCUCCUUAGAGUCGGGUUGCUUGAGAGUGCAGCCCUAAGUGGGUGGUAAACUCCAUCUAAGGCUAAAUAUGACCACGAGACCGAUAGCGAACAAGUACCGUGAGGGAAAGUUGAAAAGCACUUUGAAGAGAGAGUUCAAGAGUACGUGAAACCGUUUAGGGGUAAACCUGAGAAACCCGAAAGGUCGAAGGGAGAAAUUCAUUCGCGUUUCGUGGCAGGCGUUAGGCGGUCGCGUGACGGAAAUGCGUUCGCGUAUUUCCGCGCCUUCCGUUUAUCGAACCGGCUACGAACGCGUGCACUUUUCUCCUGGUAGGACGUCGCGAUCCGUUGGGUGUCGGUCUACGGCUCGCGGUGGAGCCCGUUUGUACCACGUGUGCGAGCGGACCCGCGUGACCCGGCCGACUCGCUCGACGGUAUACGAAAGGUUUAAGGCCGCUCUCGGAGCGUUCGACUCGUGGCAAGCGCGCCAGAUGCGUCGGCGAUCGGACCCAGUGCCGAUUCUGACCUCUGGUGACUGUUGGCUACGAAUGUCUCGGACAGACCUUAAAGACCGAUCUGCGACGCUAUAGCUUUGGGUACUUUCAGGACCCGUCUUGAAACACGGACCAAGGAGUCUAGCAUGUGCGCGAGUCAUUGGGAAUCACUAAACCUAAAGGCGCAAUGAAAGUAAAGGUCUUCCUCGCGGAGACUGAGGGAAGACGGGCGGUUUACCCUUAAAAGUGGCCGCUCCGCAUUCCCGGGGCGUCUCGUUCUCAUUGCGAGAAGAGGCGCACCAUGAGCGUACACGCUGGGACCCGAAAGAUGGUG